ACCAGAGUGAGAAAUGCCGGAUGAGUAGCGAGAAUUAUGUGGGAAUCAUAAUGGCGAAAAUUAAGGUUUCUGGGAAAGAUCGUCCGCUCAAGUAAGCCGGGAGCUAAGGCGAGGCCGCGAGGCGUAGUCGAUGCACAUACGGUUGAAAUUCCGUAGCCGCCGAAACUUUAAGCAUGCUGACACUUGGAGAUAGCCGGACCCGGGCGUUGGUUGACCCGGGCGUAAGGGACCGAAAUUAAAGUAGGGAAGCCGGCGAUGCUCUGAGGCGAGAAAAGGCAUGAGGUAUACUAAGGCGCCCGUACCGCAAACCGACACAGGUAGAUGAGGAGAGAAUCCUAAGGCCAACGGGAGAAGGGUUGUUAAGGAACUCGGCAAAAUUACCCCGUAACUUCGGGAGAAGGGGAGCCCCCUAAGGGGGGCCGCAGUGAAUAGGCCCAAGCGACUGUUUACCAAAAACACAGGUCUAUGCUAAAUCGAAAGAUGACGUAUAUGGGCUGACGCCUGCCCGGUGCUGGAAGGUUAAGAGGAGAUGUCAGAGGCAACUCGAAGCAUUGAAUUGAAGCCCCAGUAAACGGCGGCCGUAACUAUAACGGUCCUAAGGUAGCGAAAUUCCUUGUCAGGUAAGUUCUGACCCGCACGAAUGGCGUAACGAUUUGGGCACUGUCUCAACAGCCCACCCGGCGAAAUUGUUGUACUGGUGAAGAAGCCAGUUACCCGCAACUAGACGGAAAGACCCCAUGGAGCUUUACUGUAGCUUAAUACUGGAAAUCGGUAAAUCAUGUACAGGAUAGGUGGGAGACUUGGAAGUUUGGGCGUCAGCUCAGAUGGAGUCACCCUUGGGAUACCACCCUUGAUUUGCUGGUUUUCUAACCUGCGGCCCUGAAUCGGGUCGGGGGACACUGUUAGGUGGGCAGUUUGACUGGGGCGGUCGCCUCCAAAAAGGUAACGGAGGCGCUCAAAGGUUCGUUCAGCACGGACGGAAAUCGUGCAGUGAGUGUAAACGCAUAAACGAGCCUAACUGCGAGACCGACGGGUCGAGCAGUAACGAAAGUUGGAGUUAGUGAUCCGGCGGUAUGCAAGUGGAAGUGCCGUCGCUCAACGGAUAAAAGCUACCCUGGGGAUAACAGGCUGAUCUCCCCCAAGCGUCCACAGCGACGGGGAGGUUUGGCACCUCGAUGUCGGCUCGUCGCAUCCUGGGGCUGAAUUCGGUCCCAAGGGUUUGGCUGUUCGCCAAUUAAAGCGGCACGCGAGCUGGGUUCAGAACGUCGUGAGACAGUUCGGUCCCUAUCUGUUGCGGGCGUAAGAGACUUGAAGGGAGCUGUCCUUAGUACGAGAGGACCGGGAUGGACGUACCUCUGGUGCACCAGUUGUCCUGCCAAGGGCAUAGCUGGGUAGCUAUGUACGGACGAGAUAAACGCUGAAGGCAUCUAAGCGUGAAACUCCCCCUAAGAUGAGGUCUCUCACUCUUCGUGAGGUAAGGCUCGAUGUAGACUACAUCGUUGAUAGGCCGGAGGUGGAAGUGUGGUAACACAUGUAGCUGACCGGUACUAAUCAGCCGAGGGCUUGACCUU
This is a ribosomal RNA of Pseudoflavonifractor capillosus ATCC 29799, 1571 nucleotides long. It matches the Rfam family "Bacterial large subunit ribosomal RNA", at positions 1282 to 2925 of the family's 2925-position model. Lineage: Bacteria; Bacillati; Bacillota; Clostridia; Eubacteriales; Oscillospiraceae. The record is from Rfam.